This 447-nucleotide ribosomal RNA is filed under the name Streptomyces flavogriseus. RNAcentral's name for it is "bacterial SSU rRNA". It matches the Rfam family "Bacterial small subunit ribosomal RNA", at positions 10 to 475 of the family's 1533-position model. The record is from RNAcentral. Lineage: Bacteria; Bacillati; Actinomycetota; Actinomycetes; Kitasatosporales; Streptomycetaceae.
AGUUUGAUCCUGGCUCAGGACGAACGCUGGCGGCGUGCUUAACACAUGCAAGUCGAACGAUGAAGCCUUUCGGGGUGGAUUAGUGGCGAACGGGUGAGUAACACGUGGGCAAUCUGCCCUUCACUCUGGGACAAGCCCUGGAAACGGGGUCUAAUACCGGAUAACACUUUGUUCCUCAUGGGACGGGGUUAAAAGCUCCGGCGGUGAAGGAUGAGCCCGCGGCCUAUCAGCUUGUUGGUGGGGUAAUGGCCUACCAAGGCGACGACGGGUAGCCGGCCUGAGAGGGCGACCGGCCACACUGGGACUGAGACACGGCCCAGACUCCUACGGGAGGCAGCAGUGGGGAAUAUUGCACAAUGGGCGAAAGCCUGAUGCAGCGACGCCGCGUGAGGGAUGACGGCCUUCGGGUUGUAAACCUCUUCAGCAGGGAAGAAGCGAAAGUGACGG